ACCGUGAAAGCGUGGCCUAUCGAUC
This 25-nucleotide small nuclear RNA is filed under the name Arabidopsis thaliana (thale cress). Its description in RNAcentral is "snRNA_03099". Lineage: Eukaryota; Viridiplantae; Streptophyta; Magnoliopsida; Brassicales; Brassicaceae. The record is from RNAcentral.